RNAcentral lists this ribosomal RNA (929 nucleotides) under uncultured Acidobacteriota bacterium. RNAcentral's name for it is "bacterial SSU rRNA". It matches the Rfam family "Bacterial small subunit ribosomal RNA", at positions 8 to 917 of the family's 1533-position model. Lineage: Bacteria; Pseudomonadati; Acidobacteriota. The record is from RNAcentral.
AGAGUUUGAUCGUGGCUCAGAAUGAACGCUGGCGGCGUGCUUAACACAUGCAAGUCGUGCGCGAAGGUGGCUUCGGCCACCGGAGAGCGGCGAACGGGUGAGUAACACGUGGGUAAUCUGCCUGGGAGCGGGGGAUAACCUGGGGAAACUCGGGCUAAUACCGCAUACGUUGGCGGGCAUGCGUGCCUGUCAAGAAAGCUGGCCUCUACUUGUAAGCUAGCGCUCCUAGAGGAGCCCGCGUCUGAUUAGCUAGUUGGUGAGGUAAUGGCUCACCAAGGCGACGAUCAGUAGCCGGCCUGAGAGGGUGAUCGGCCACACUGGGACUGAGACACGGCCCAGACUCCUACUGGAGGCAGCAGUGGGGAAUAUUGGACAAUGGGCGCAAGCCUGAUCCAGCAACGCCGCGUGGAGGACGAAGGUCUUCGGAUCGUAAACUCCUGUCAGGUGGGGCGAAGGGUGCGGGGCAAACAGCCUUGCACCUUGACGGUACCACCAGAGGAAGCCCCGGCUAACUCCGUGCCAGCAGCCGCGGUAAUACGGAGGGGGCGAGCGUUAUUCGGAAUUAUUGGGCGUAAAGGGCGCGUAGGCGGCUCGAUAAGUCAAAGGUGAAAUCCCUCGGCUCAACUGAGGAACUGCCUUUGAAACUGUAGAGCUUGAGUCCGGGAGGGGGUAGCGGAAUUCCCAGUGUAGCGGUGAAAUGCGUAGAUAUUGGGAGGAACACCAGUGGCGAAGGCGGCUACCUGGACCGGAACUGACGCUGAGGCGCGAAAGCGUGGGUAGCAAACAGGAUUAGAUACCCUGGUAGUCCACGCUGUAAACGAUGGGUGCUCGGUGUCGCGGGUAUCGACCCCUGCGGUGCCUUAGCUAACGCGUUAAGCACCCCGCCUGGGGAGUACGGUCGCAAGGCUGAACUAAAACGAAUUGACGGA